This 88-nucleotide microRNA precursor is filed under the name Diaphorina citri (Asian citrus psyllid). RNAcentral describes it as "mir-317 microRNA precursor family". It matches the Rfam family "mir-317 microRNA precursor family". Lineage: Eukaryota; Metazoa; Arthropoda; Insecta; Hemiptera; Psyllidae. The record is from Rfam by way of RNAcentral.
GCCAAGUAGCUGGGUACCACUCUGUUGUUCUCUUGUGAUAGUUUAAGAUUGAGUGAACACAGCUGGUGGUAUCUCAGCUCCUUUGUCA